AGCACAGGAGUUUGACUUCCCUGCAUGCCAACCAACAAGGAAGGGAGGAUCUGAAAAUUGGUAGCUGAGCAGGGACAUAACACCCAUCCAAACUCAGUCCAAGUCAAAAAUUAUUAACAUCUACUGUCUACUCACAGGUCCGUGAGAGAAAUCGGUCUCCUUCCAGUCUGCAGGUGACUAGCACUGACCACAGGAGAUCAGCAAUCUGCAAGCAAGAGUUGUGGAGGAAAAGGUCACAUACCAUGCAACAGACUGAAYGUGCCCUCCUUUGAGGACUGGCUUUGGAAGGGUCCUAAUUCUGAUGAUGUGCCUGAAGGAAAUUCAGUAAUACAGGACGGUGGAUCACGUGGAUGAUGACCUCUGAACAGAAAUCCAGGAGCACAAAACAGCAGCAUAUUUCAGGAAUCUUGGGGGCAAUUUUGGAGGCAAAGGAAGAGGAGAAGACAGGAGAGAGCGAAGGGAAACAGAACCAACCACUGUUUUGCACAACAGGCAUGCACCAGUAAGGUCAUCAACUUCAUAAAAUCUACGGGGAGAUAGUAAAGAUAUUGAAUGAAGGUGAAAUCUACAGUUAAAAAAGAGCAUGUAAAUAGGUAAGAGUCAAAGAAGGUAGGAUUUAUGGCAUCAAUUUAAAAAUUAAAAACAAAUAACGUGGAAUGCUGAAAAAGGCACAUUAAACCAAAGAAUACUAAUUCCUUCAUAUGAAACAUUUGCUAUUUUAACUAAAACAUUCCUUUUUUAACUUAAAAAGAAUGUUGGAGGAGUAGUUGGUAGAACAGGGCAUUAGGCAAGCCAUUUAUACUGAAUACUUUAAUAAAUCAUCUUAUGUGGCUUAUCUUGAUCUCA
Molecule: long non-coding RNA, 846 nt
Organism: Dromaius novaehollandiae (emu)
Lineage: Eukaryota; Metazoa; Chordata; Aves; Casuariiformes; Dromaiidae
Source: Ensembl